GACGAACGCUGGCGGCGUGCUUAACACAUGCAAGUCGAACGGAAAGGCCCUGCUUUUGUGGGGUGCUCGAGUGGCGAACGGGUGAGUAACACGUGAGUAACCUGCCCUUGACUUUGGGAUAACUUCAGGAAACUGGGGCUAAUACCGGAUAGGAGCUCCUGCUGCAUGGUGGGGGUUGGAAAGUUUCGGCGGUUGGGGAUGGACUCGCGGCUUAUCAGCUUGUUGGUGGGGUAGUGGCUUACCAAGGCUUUGACGGGUAGCCGGCCUGAGAGGGUGACCGGCCACAUUGGGACUGAGGUAGGGCCCAGACUCCUACGGGAGGCAGCAGUGGGGAAUAGUGCACAAUGGGCGGAAGCCUGAUGCAGCAACGCCGCGUGCGGGAUGACGGCCUUCGGGUUGUAAACCGCUUUCGCCUGUGACGAAGCGUGAGUGACGGUAAUGGGUAAAGAAGCACCGGCUAACUACGUG
This 468-nucleotide ribosomal RNA is filed under the name uncultured bacterium. Its description in RNAcentral is "partial 16S ribosomal RNA". It matches the Rfam family "Bacterial small subunit ribosomal RNA", at positions 28 to 507 of the family's 1533-position model. The record is from RNAcentral.